AAGCUUGCUUCUCUUGAGAGCGGCGGACGGGUGAGUAAUGCCUAGGAAUCUGCCUGGUAGUGGGGGAUAACGUCCGGAAACGGACGCUAAUACCGCAUACGUCCUACGGGAGAAAGCAGGGGACCUUCGGGCCUUGCGCUAUCAGAUGAGCCUAGGUCGGAUUAGCUAGUUGGUGRGGUAAUGGCUCACCAAGGCGACGAUCCGUAACUGGUCUGAGAGGAUGAUCAGUCACACUGGAACUGAGACACGGUCCAGACUCCUACGGGAGGCAGCAGUGGGGAAUAUUGGACAAUGGGCGAAAGCCUGAUCCAGCCAUGCCGCGUGUGUGAAGARGGUCUUCGGAUUGKAAAGCACUUUAAGUUGGGAGGAAGGGCAGUUGCCUARUACGUAACUGUUUUGACGUUACCGACAGAAUAAKCACCGGCUAACUCUGUGCCAGCAGCCGCGGUAAUACAGAGGGUGCRAGCGUUAAUCGSAAUUACUGGGCGUARRGCGCGCGUAGGUGGUUUGUUAAGUUGGAUGUGAGAUCCCCGGGCUCAACCUGGGAACUGCRUUCAMAACUGACUGACU
Molecule: ribosomal RNA, 570 nt
Filed under: Pseudomonas tolaasii
Lineage: Bacteria; Pseudomonadati; Pseudomonadota; Gammaproteobacteria; Pseudomonadales; Pseudomonadaceae
Description: bacterial SSU rRNA
Source: RNAcentral